RNAcentral lists this unclassified non-coding RNA (615 nucleotides) under Hevea brasiliensis (rubber tree). Lineage: Eukaryota; Viridiplantae; Streptophyta; Magnoliopsida; Malpighiales; Euphorbiaceae. The record is from RNAcentral.
AAUUGAAGCCUUCAAUCCUCACAGUAGCUGGCUUGAUCCGGAAUUUCACCGGAGCACAGCCUCCUCCGCUCUUACGAGUGGAAGCAGAAGAUUGUGGUGGAGAAGGUGCAGCUUCUGGAAUUGCUAGUAUAGGAACAAAAUUUUUGUUGCUGAACUGUGAAUCCUGAAUCAGGGGAUUCGAUGCCCUACUCGGUGGAGAUCCGAAAAAAAACGGUGGAGAUGAAGCCAUAUCAAAAUUGGGCGUUUCCAUAUCGAAAUUCCCCUUGCUGAGGAUGAUAUCCAGAAGUUCAGUUCCGGCUUUCAAAUCGCAACCCUCCGGUUGCUGAUUAUUGAUUUGGAGGAAUCUAGAAGGUUUGAUAGGUUCAUUGGAAAGCCCAUUCCGGCGAGGCUUGGGACAAACAAGACCAUCAGAAACAGAAAUAUCUCGCCGUCUAAUUUCUCCAACACCAUCACAACCACCCAUCAAGGCCUUUUGCUGAUAACCACACCUAUUCAUUUUUUUUCCUUUUUCGUUUUUGAACAACAGAUCCAAAAAGCUGUGUGGGUGGGUGGCGCCUGUGAAAGGCGAAAAUGGAGGAGAGAGAUAUUUGGUGAACAAAGAGGAUGACGAACCAA